UUCCGGUUGAUCCCGCCGGACCUGACUGCUAUCGGAUUGAUACUAAGCCAUGCGAGUCUUUGUAGCAAUACAAGGCAGACGGCUCAGUAACACGUAGUCAAUCUACCCUAUGGACGGGGAUAACCUCGGGAGACUGAGAAUAAUACCCGAUAGAUCAUUAUGCCUGGAAUGGUUUAUGGUUCAAAUGAUUUUUCGCCAUAGGAUGGGACUGCGGUCUAUCAGCUUGUUGGUGAGGUAAUGGCCCACCAAGGCUAUAACAGAUACGGGCUCUGAGAGGAGAAGCCCGGAGAUGGGUACUGAGACACGGACCCAGGUCCUAUGGGGCGCAGCAGGCGAGAAAACUUUGCAAUGUGCGAAAGCACGACAAGGUUAACCCGAGUGUUUUCUGCUAAAGAAAUCUUUUGUCAGUCCUAAAAACACUGACGAAUAAGGGGUGGGCAAGUUCUGGUGUCAGCCGCGCGCGGUAAGACCAGCACCUCAAGUGGUCAGGAGGAUUAUUGGGCCUAAAGCAUCCGUAGCCUGCUCUGUAAGUCUUCGGUUAAAUCUAUAUGCUCAAUAUAUAGGCUGCCGGGAAUACUGCAGAGCUAGGGAGUGGGAGAGGUAGAUGGUACACGGUAGGAAGGGGUAAAAUCCUUUGAUCUAUUGAUGACCACCUGUGGCGAAGCGCGGUCUACUAAGAACAGCUCGACGGUAGGGGAUGAAAGC
RNAcentral lists this ribosomal RNA (705 nucleotides) under uncultured archaeon. RNAcentral's name for it is "bacterial SSU rRNA". It matches the Rfam family "Archaeal small subunit ribosomal RNA", at positions 1 to 711 of the family's 1478-position model. The record is from RNAcentral.